GGUUAGCGUUCCAUAUUGUACGACGGCAGAAAAGAACUUUGACUCACAGUUUACGGUGAACUUCUCUCGUAAUGUUUCGUCCAAAGUUUACAUAUAAUCACGGAAUACAUCACUAAGAUGUGUUGACACACCAUCUUGGAUGUAUCGCACACGAAACAAUAAUUUCUUAAGAAAGUCCGAUAAGUUUUGUGUAGAUAGUUAUAGGAGAAUUGGCAAAGACAUGGCUUAGCGUCUUGGGUAUAAUUCUGUUUGUUUCUGUGACGGCGCCACAAAAUGCUGGUAAUUUGUCACAACACCGCAGAACGAGAGUAAAACUUCAGUUAAAUACAUGUGAUGGCCAAACACCGUUCCUGUUACCCAAGGAAGUUAUUGUUAAUUUGUGAUAAACAUGAUUCAGAUAUUGUUCUAACUCGGGAUUACAAGGUUUACAUUAAUGCUGUAUGGUAUGCCAUGUCACACGUGAAUAUUUGAACACGGUCAAGUACGUUUGAUAUCGUGAUUGAUAUCUUAGACCGUAAACGUUCUGUUUUGUGGUCGAUUGGUUUAAGCGUGAGAAGUACAGAUAUACACCUGUAUAGAACUGUGGUACAUUGCUGAAGCGUUUACACUGCCGAAUACGAUGGUGAUGUCGUGAACGGAAUUGUUCAUUACAAUGAAUAACGUUGUGGUCUCAACAGGGUGUUUCCUCGGAGAGCGUUCUUAAAACUGUUCAGGACAAUGGACAGUGCUUCGCCAAACGCUCUCGACUUCCCUGACGACGCCAUAGACAAGGUUGCCAGGGCAAAUUCCG
This 790-nucleotide unclassified non-coding RNA is filed under the name Mizuhopecten yessoensis (Yesso scallop). RNAcentral's name for it is "uncharacterized LOC110459732, transcript variant X1". Lineage: Eukaryota; Metazoa; Mollusca; Bivalvia; Pectinida; Pectinidae. The record is from RNAcentral.